AUUGAACGCUAGCGGGAUGCUUUACACAUGCAAGUCGAACGGCAGCGCGGACUUCGGUCUGGCGGCGAGUGGCGAACGGGUGAGUAAUGUAUCGGAACGUGCACAGUAGCGGGGGAUAACUACGCGAAAGCGUAGCUAAUACCGCAUACGCCCUACGGGGGAAAGCAGGGGAUCGUAAGACCUUGCACUAUUGGAGCGGCCGAUAUCGGAUUAGCUAGUUGGUGAGGUAACGGCUCACCAAGGCGACGAUCCGUAGCUGGUUUGAGAGGACGACCAGCCACACUGGGACUGAGACACGGCCCAGACUCCUACGGGAGGCAGCAGUGGGGAAUUUUGGACAAUGGGGGCAACCCUGAUCCAGCCAUCCCGCGUGUGCGAUGAAGGCCUUCGGGUUGUAAAGCACUUUUGGCAGGAAAGAAACGUCGCGGGCUAAUACCCCGUGGAACUGACGGUACCUGCAGAAUAAGCACCGGCUAACUACGUG
RNAcentral lists this ribosomal RNA (484 nucleotides) under uncultured bacterium. RNAcentral describes it as "partial 16S ribosomal RNA". It matches the Rfam family "Bacterial small subunit ribosomal RNA", at positions 30 to 507 of the family's 1533-position model. The record is from RNAcentral.